AGAGUUUGAUCCUGGCUCAGGACGAACGCUGGCGGCGUGCCUAAUACAUGCAAGUCGAGCGAGCUGAAUUCAAAGAUUCCUUCGGGAUGACUUGUUGGACGCUAGCGGCGGAUGGGUGAGUAACACGUGGGCAAUCUGCCCUAAAGACUGGGAUACCACUUGGAAACAGGUGCUAAUACCGGAUAACAACAUGAAUCGCAUGAUUCAAGUUUGAAAGGCGGCGCAAGCUGUCACUUUAGGAUGAUCCCGCGGCGCAUUAGCUAGUUGGUGGGGUAAAGGCCUACCAAGGCAC
Molecule: ribosomal RNA, 292 nt
Filed under: Lactobacillus sp. AA
Lineage: Bacteria; Bacillati; Bacillota; Bacilli; Lactobacillales; Lactobacillaceae
Description: partial 16S ribosomal RNA
Rfam family: Bacterial small subunit ribosomal RNA
Source: RNAcentral